RNAcentral lists this ribosomal RNA (253 nucleotides) under uncultured bacterium. RNAcentral describes it as "partial 16S ribosomal RNA". It matches the Rfam family "Bacterial small subunit ribosomal RNA", at positions 524 to 776 of the family's 1533-position model. The record is from RNAcentral.
UACAUGGGGUGCAAACGUUGCUCGGAAUUAUUGGGCGUAAAGCGCGCGUAGGCGGUUACUCAAGUCGGAUGUGAAAGCCCUCGGCUUAACUGAGGAAGUGCACCCGAAACUGAGUAGCUAGAGUACUAAAGAGGGUCGCGGAAUUCCCGGUGUAGAGGUGAAAUUCGUAGAUAUCGGGAGGAAGGCCGGUGGCGAAGGCGGCGCUCUGGAACAUUUCUGACGCUGAGGCUCGAAAGCGUGGGGAGCAAACAGG